RNAcentral lists this long non-coding RNA (207 nucleotides) under Hordeum vulgare. RNAcentral describes it as "long non-coding RNA (HVUL_LNC015011)". The record is from RNAcentral. Lineage: Eukaryota; Viridiplantae; Streptophyta; Magnoliopsida; Poales; Poaceae.
UGCGCAGGCGGCCCCUCGUGCACUAGCUCCCAACCACGCUCUGGCUCCGCCGCCACCGCCUCGCGACGACGGUCACCACCAAGACGACUACCCUCAUCAAGACGGAGUGUUCGUCGUCUUCACCAGCGAAGGCGACGACAAGCACAGCCUGCGCCAGAGGCGGCGCGAGGUAAACGCCACAGUCCCCCCGGUUCCCUAGUACAUGCA